GAUGAACGCUGGCGGCGUGCCUAAUACAUGCAAGUCGAGCGAACAGAUGAGAAGCUUGCUUCUCUGAUGUUAGCGGCGGACGGGUGAGUAACACGUGGGUAACCUACCUAUAAGACUGGGAUAACUCCGGGAAACCGGGGCUAAUACCGGAUAAUAUUUUGAACCGCAUGGUUCAAUAGUGAAAGACGGUUUCGGCUGUCACUUAUAGAUGGACCCGCGCCGUAUUAGCUAGUUGGUAAGGUAACGGCUUACCAAGGCGACGAUACGUAGCCGACCUGAGAGGGUGAUCGGCCCCCCUGGAACGGAGACACGGUCCAGACUCCUACGGGAGGCAGCAGUAGGGAAUCUUCCGCAAUGGGCGAAAGCCUGACGGAGCAGCGCCGCGUGAGUGAUGAAGGUCUUCGGAUCGUAAAACUCUGUUGUUAGGGAAGAACAAAUUUGUUAGUAACUGAACAAAUCUUGACGGUACCUAACCAGAAAGCCACGGCUAACUACGUGCCAGCAGCCGCCGUAA
RNAcentral lists this ribosomal RNA (514 nucleotides) under uncultured bacterium. RNAcentral's name for it is "partial 16S ribosomal RNA". It matches the Rfam family "Bacterial small subunit ribosomal RNA", at positions 28 to 523 of the family's 1533-position model. The record is from RNAcentral.